RNAcentral lists this non-coding RNA (256 nucleotides) under Limosilactobacillus frumenti. RNAcentral describes it as "Lactobacillus frumenti T-box sequence". It matches the Rfam family "T-box leader". Rfam says of the family: Uncharged tRNA acts as the effector for transcription antitermination of genes in the T-box leader family. T-boxes are found upstream of many aminoacyl-tRNA synthetase genes and some amino acid biosynthetic genes usually in Gram-positive bacteria. Lineage: Bacteria; Bacillati; Bacillota; Bacilli; Lactobacillales; Lactobacillaceae. The record is from RNAcentral.
UCAAAAGCGAUGAAAAAGAAGAGUAAGUAAUUUCCAAUCUACCAGUGAGUCGGUGAUAGUGAGAGACCGAUAGCACCUGAAUUACCGAAAAACACUUUUCCCAUGCUACUAACCCAAAUAACCCGUCUUAAAGUAGGCUUAGUCGUCACCGGUACGUUACCACGCCGGAAGAGUAUGAAAGUACUCUAUGAGAAGGUCUAAAAAUAUUUUAGGCAAUUUGGGUGGUACCGCGGAACAAAAGCCUUUCGUCCCUUAG